This 492-nucleotide ribosomal RNA is filed under the name uncultured bacterium. RNAcentral describes it as "partial 16S ribosomal RNA". It matches the Rfam family "Bacterial small subunit ribosomal RNA", at positions 29 to 507 of the family's 1533-position model. The record is from RNAcentral.
AGUGAACGCUGGCGGUAGGCCUAACACAUGCAAGUCGAACGGCAGCACAGUAAGAGCUUGCUCUUACGGGUGGCGAGUGGCGGACGGGUGAGGAAUACAUCGGAAUCUACUUUUUCGUGGGGGAUAACGUAGGGAAACUUACGCUAAUACCGCAUACGACCUACGGGUGAAAGCAGGGGAUCUUCGGACCUUGCGCGAUUGAAUGAGCCGAUGUCGGAUUAGGUAGUUGGCGGGGUAAAGGCCCACCAAGGCGACGAUCCGUAGCUGGUCUGAGAGGAUGAUCAGCCACACUGGAACUGAGACACGGUCCAGACUCCUACGGGAGGCAGCAGUGGGGAAUAUUGGACAAUGGGCGCAAGCCUGAUCCAGCCAUACCGAGUGGGUGAAGAAGGCCUUCGGGUUGUAAAGCCCUUUUGUUGGGAAAGAAAAGCAGCAGGUUAAUACCCCGCUGUUCUGACGGUACCCAAAGAAUAAGCACCGGCUAACUUCGUG